UUACAUAAUUGCUUGAAACAAAUUAAAGAUUUAAAAGCAGAAUGUUGUUGUUAAUUCUUUCAAUUGCAUUAAAGUUUUAUAACAAAAACUAUACUUGAUUUUGACCUUGUUUAAGUUCAUCGGUAAAUUAUUUUAUUUACGAAAAGAGACAUACUUGCGUAAAAAUAAACGGAAACUAACGCUGAAUAUAAAAGUGAGCAGUUUAAAGAAAAUUACGUGUCUCAAAAUUUGUAUAUGCAAGUAAAAAAGAAAAUACUAUUCACCAUUCGUUAUGCUUAAUAAGUCUACGGCAUUUUCUCUUUACGAUUUGUUGGCAUUACUUUAGGAUAAAUAAUUACAUUUCGGCUACAACAGGAAUACUUAUAUAGCUGCAUCAACUCGUCGUUGCAUAAUAUUCAUUUACGCACAAUGAAUGUAAACUUGUGUGUUGUAUAAAGGACAGUGAUUUUUUAUUUUUUUAAAAGGAAUUAAUUGCCGUGGGAAGACGGUACACAUCUCAGUGAUCGACAGUCCGUGGUUGAACUUUGAACUUGACUUCGCUCACAAUAUUGAAUGCUAAAAAUAGUGACAUCAAUUUUGUCCACGAGAUUUUUAUUUGGCGGGAAAUAUUAUCACGUAACAGUAAACUCAGGUGACCUUUCUGGAUGACCGUGGGAAAAUUCAUUCGGGGUUUAAACUUGCUUUGGAAUGAUUGACAUUUGUAUGCCUUAAGAUUGAGGCUCUAGAAGGUCCUUUUACAAUUGAUUAACCGGAAUCUAAAAUAUAAUCCUUUUCUGAAUAAACGAACACCAGCCUUUUAAUUUUACGUUUCUCAGUCAACACAGGACAUAAACCUGGACAUUAUUUAAACGUCCAUGGUCAACAAUAUACAUAAAUGGUAGAUGAAAACAGGAUGCAUGUCGUUCAGUUCCUGUUGGGCGUUGGUAGAGAUCCUCUGUGAAAAUGUGUAGAUCGUGAAAAUGUGUAGAUCGUAAAAAUCCGAUCCACAUUUUUUUCACAUAUUUCU
This is a long non-coding RNA of Mytilus californianus (California mussel), 1006 nucleotides long. RefSeq lists it as uncharacterized. Lineage: Eukaryota; Metazoa; Mollusca; Bivalvia; Mytilida; Mytilidae. The record is from RefSeq and is a predicted model, not a curated record. The transcript is spliced from 2 exons.